RNAcentral lists this small nuclear RNA (108 nucleotides) under Phascolarctos cinereus (koala). The record is from RNAcentral. Lineage: Eukaryota; Metazoa; Chordata; Mammalia; Diprotodontia; Phascolarctidae.
AGAUUCUCCCUUGUUAAUCCAUACACUAAAACGGGAACAAUACAGAGAAGAUUAGCAUGGCCCUUGCCCAAGGGUGACACUCAGAUUUGUGGAGCGUUUCAUAUUUUU